GCGCGAGUGGGGGGGAUCGUCGAAUCGAACCGAGCGAGAGACGAAGCGAGGGUCGAAGCGAGACGAACGCGGCCCGACAGAGACCGCGACGUGACGAACGCCCGGCAGCAGCGAGGUGCGGGCAGUCUGCGCACGGACAUCGAUCGAAGCUCACGUUCACAUCCACCACCCGAAAUUCCCGGUGUUUUCCUUUCGAUUCGCCUCGACACGUUCGCGAGCGAGCGAGCGAGGUUACCGUGUUCGGUACCGCGCGAUUCGUCGCACGCCGACCCACCGUGCCAGCAAGUCGUGCCUCGGUGCAGUGACACUUGUGCCUUUUGGAGAGAAAAAAGACUGAAAUACCACCAAGUGUCCCGGGACACCGGCUCCAACGACCCUGCCAACUACGCCUUUACACCCCGCAGCUAAUCGUCGCACGUAACACACAUUCACAUCGAGCAUGGUUCGCGGCUAACCUCACUCUUCACGCCUAUCCGUCACCGUCGUUCCUGCCUUGGAAGUGCAGCAGUUUUUCUCUCGAGCGUCGAUCCGAUUCCACUUCGUACAGAGAUGUGUUAAUGUUGUAGCCUGCUUGCGACUAUAAGAGAUGAUAAGAUAGACUGUCGAUACAACUAUAUCGGAGCAUCGAUCAAUAAUGCUGUAGACCUUUGGCCGCCAGUUUUCGUGUUGAAAUAGCAGCAAAAUUGUGGAAAGAUG
Molecule: long non-coding RNA, 696 nt
Organism: Frieseomelitta varia
Lineage: Eukaryota; Metazoa; Arthropoda; Insecta; Hymenoptera; Apidae
Exons: 4
Source: RefSeq, a predicted model, not a curated record